GACGGGGGGAGCAAGCGUUGUUCGGAAUCACUGGGCGUAAAGGGCGUGUAGGCGGUUUGGCAAGUGAAAUGUGAAAUCCCUCGGCUCACCCGAGGACCUGCAUCUCAAACUGCCGGACUAGAGUAUGGGAGAGGAUGAGGGAAUUCCUGGUGUAGCGGUGAAAUGCGUAGAUAUCAGGAGGAACACCGGUGGCGAAAGCGCUCAUCUGGCCCAAUACUGACGCUGAGGCGCGAAAGCUAGGGGAGCAAACGGG
Molecule: ribosomal RNA, 253 nt
Filed under: uncultured bacterium
Lineage: Bacteria
Description: partial 16S ribosomal RNA
Rfam family: Bacterial small subunit ribosomal RNA
Source: RNAcentral